UGGGGAAUAUUGCACAAUGGAGGGAACUCUGAUGCAGCGACGCCGCGUGAGUGAUGAAGGAAUUCGUUUCGUAAAACUCUGUUCUAUGGGAAGAAAAGGACUGUACCAUAGGAGAAAGCUCCGGCUAAAUACGUGCCAGCAGCCGCGGUAAUACGUAUGGAGCGAGCGUUGUCCGGAAUUAUUGGGCGUAAAGGGUGCGCAGGCGGCUUUACAAGUUGGAUGUGAAAUAUUGUGGCUCAACCACAAACGUGCAUCCAAAACUGCAAAGCUUGAGUUAAGGAGGGGUAAGUGGAAUUCCUGGUGUAGCGGUGGAAUGCGUAGAUAUCAGGAGGAAUACCGGUGGCGAAGGCGACUUACUGGACUUAAACUGACGCUGAGGCACGAAAGCGUGGGGAGCAAACAGG
RNAcentral lists this ribosomal RNA (404 nucleotides) under Fusobacteriota bacterium. RNAcentral's name for it is "Fusobacteria bacterium partial 16S ribosomal RNA". It matches the Rfam family "Bacterial small subunit ribosomal RNA", at positions 355 to 776 of the family's 1533-position model. The record is from RNAcentral. Lineage: Bacteria; Fusobacteriati; Fusobacteriota.